CUCCGGAUGUUUUUGCCGGACCCGACUGCUAUCGGAUUGAGAUUCAGGCCUGUUAGUCGAACGUCCCCCUGUUGCGGGGGGCGUGGCAUACGGCUCAAUAACACCCACUCGACCUGCCCUGGACACAUGGACUACCCCGGGAAACUGGGAUUAAUCCAUGAUAGGUCAUCUCAUCUGCAAAGACAUAUGGCUUACAGGGGUACGCCUGCCUCUUCCGCGAAUCUGCUCCAGGAUGGGACUGCCUCCGAUCAAGCUGUUGGCGGGGUAAUGGACCACCAAACCUGUAACCGGUACGGGCCUUGAGAGAGGUGGCCCCGAGAUGGUCACUGAGAGAAGGGUCCAGGUCCUACGGGGCACAACAGGCGCGAAACCUUCUUCAAUGCGCGAAAGCGUGCCGAGGUUAAUCCGAGUGGCCCCCGCUGAGGGGGUCUUUAGUCGGCUGUAAAUAGGCCCGCGAAUAAGGGGAGGGCAAGCCUGGUGUCAACCGCCGCGGUAAUACCACCUCCUCGAGUGGUCGGGGCGAUUAUUGGGCCUAAAGCAUCAGUAGCCGGUUCCGUAGGUCCUCUGUUAAAUCCAACCGCUUAACGGUUGACAUGCAGAGGAUACCGUGGGACUAGAAGGCGGGAGAGGCGGACGGUACUCCGCGUGUAGGGGUAAAAUCCUUUGAUCCGCGGAAGACCACCAGUGGCGAAGGCGGUCCGCCAGAACGCGCUCGACGAGUGAGGGAUGAAAGCUGGGGGAGCGAACCGGAUUAGAUACCCGGGUAGUCCCAACCGUAACCGAUGCUAGCUAGAUGAUUCAUUCGCAAGUCGCGAAUGAAGUGUCGCAGGGAAGCCGUUAAGCUCGCCGCCUGGGGAGUACGGUCGCAAGGCUGAAACCAUCGGAGUUAAAGUUUACCCUAUUCUUCAUGGCAGCGAACUUAAAGGAAUAAACGGGGGAGCACAAGGG
Molecule: ribosomal RNA, 948 nt
Filed under: uncultured archaeon
Lineage: Archaea
Description: bacterial SSU rRNA
Rfam family: Archaeal small subunit ribosomal RNA
Source: RNAcentral